AUGCAAAGGCGCCGCGCGUCGCGGUUGGACAGGCGUCGGCGGAAGGCGUUGGCGAAUGCGCAGUCCGACCUCGUUGCAGCAGGUGGGCGGUCGUUCUUCACGCCGAACGAUGAGCGGUGGCUGGACAUCUGGCUAUCUACCUCGGACGACACCGCCGAGGAUGAUAGUGGUGAUGAUGAUAGCGACUUAGAGUAG
RNAcentral lists this ribosomal RNA (195 nucleotides) under Triticum aestivum (bread wheat). RNAcentral's name for it is "partial small subunit ribosomal RNA". The record is from RNAcentral. Lineage: Eukaryota; Viridiplantae; Streptophyta; Magnoliopsida; Poales; Poaceae.